CCGAUGGACAACAGGUGGAGAUUCCUGUACUGCGGUAUGACAGAACUGUGGGGACACGUAAGGAAAGCGGAAGCCGGGAAUGGAAAGCCCGGUGCAAGCGGGGUACCAGCCACUCAGGCAAAUCCGGGUGGCAAUGGGAAGCCGUGAUGCGGAUCGAAAUACAAGUAGAGAAGUCCGUGAGCCAUGCGUCAAGAAAAGCCGCUAUUGUUUAUACCGUACCCGUACCGUAAACCGACACAGGUGGAUGAGGAGAGAAUCCUAAGGCCGGCGGAAGAAGCAUUGUCAAGGAACUCGGCAAAAUGACCCCGUAACUUCGGGAGAAGGGGUGCCACUGAGAAGUGGCCGCAGAGAAUAGGCUCAAGCAACUGUUUAGCAAAAACACAGGUCUAUGCGAAACCGAAAGGUGAGGUAUAUGGGCUGACGCCUGCCCGGUGCUGGAAGGUUAAGAGGAGAGGUUAGCGGUAACGCGAAGCUUUGAAUUUAAGCCCCAGUAAACGGCGGCCGUAACAAUAACGGUCCUAAGGUAGCGAAAUUCCUUGUCGGGUAAGUUCCGACCCGCACGAAAGGCGUAAUGAUUUGAGCGCUGUCUCGACAAUGCAUCCGGUGAAAUUGAAGUACCAGUGAAGAUGCUGGUUACCUGCGCCAGGACGGAAAGACCCCAUGGAGCUUUACUCCAGUUUGGUACUGGGGUUCGGUAUUGCAUGUACAGGAUAGGUGGGAGGCUGAGAAAUGGCAACGCCAGUUGCCAUGGAGCCGCUGUUGGGAUACCACCCUUGCAGUACUGGACUUCUAACCAGCCGCCGUGAACCGGCGGUGGGACAAUGCCAGACGGGGAGUUUGACUGGGGCGGUCGCCUCCGAAAGGGUAUCGGAGGCGCCCAAAGGUUCCCUCAGAAUGGACGGAAACCAUUCGAAGAGUGCAAAGGCAGAAGGGAGCUUGACUGCGACACCGACGGGUGGAGCAGGUACGAAAGUAGGGCUUAGUGAUCCGGUGGUAUUAAGUGGGAAUGCCAUCGCUCCACGGAUAAAAGCUACCCUGGGAUAACAGGCUUAUCACUCCCAAGAGUUCACAUCGACGGAGUGGUUUGGCACCUCGAUGUCGGCUCAUCGCAUCCUGGGGCUGUAGUAGGUCCCAAGGGUUGGGCUGUUCGCCCAUUAAAGCGGUACGCGAGCUGGGUUCAGAACGUCGUGAGACAGUUCGGUCCCUAUCCGGCGUGGGCGUAGGAUAUCUGAGAGGAGCUGUCCUUAGUACGAGAGGACCGGGAUGGACGGACCGCUGGUGUACCGGUUAGACUGCCAAGUCUACGGCCGGGUAGCCAAGUCCGGAAGGGAUAAACGCUGAAGGCAUCUAAGCGUGAAGCCCCCCUCAAGAUGAGAUGUCCCAUUCGAAAGAAGUAAACCCCCUUGAAGACGACGAGGUAGAUAGGGCAGGGGUGGAAGUGUGGUAACACAUGGAGCUGACUGUUACUAAUAGGGUGAGGGCUUGACCG
This 1489-nucleotide ribosomal RNA is filed under the name metagenome. RNAcentral describes it as "bacterial LSU rRNA". It matches the Rfam family "Bacterial large subunit ribosomal RNA", at positions 1415 to 2925 of the family's 2925-position model. The record is from RNAcentral.